Molecule: non-coding RNA, 222 nt
Organism: Vicia faba (fava bean)
Lineage: Eukaryota; Viridiplantae; Streptophyta; Magnoliopsida; Fabales; Fabaceae
Source: the annotation of a GenBank genome assembly
AUGUCAUCAACUACACCUCACAUCUCACUUUGCUCUUACUGUGAACCCAGCCUGCAAACCUCUGGUCUUACUUCUUCACCUUCAACCAGAAAACUCUAUGUGCCAUUUCCGAUUUUACUUCUGAACUAUCAUCACCAUCAUCGUGACUCAGUACCGUCACAAGCACAGAAUCGACCACAUCGUUCUACUCAGCUCAAAGUGGAAAGAUCGGUGAACAGAUGA